Mizuhopecten yessoensis (Yesso scallop) is the source of this 592-nucleotide long non-coding RNA. RefSeq lists it as uncharacterized. NCBI's taxonomy places the organism in Eukaryota, Metazoa, Mollusca, Bivalvia, Pectinida, Pectinidae. The transcript is spliced from 3 exons. The record is from RefSeq and is a predicted model, not a curated record.
UGUGAAAAUAUUGAUGUUUUAAUAAAGGCUGUGAUAAAAUGUUUUUAAAUUAAAUUAAUUGUUGCGCUGCGUAUAUCGUGCUGUUCGCGUAUACAUGUUCUGUGUACGAUCACUGUGCCGUUUACCUGUGUUGUUUUUGUACACGUGAGUAUGUUGUCACAUGUCACUUGUCUUACCUUGUUACGUCCAUAUAAGGUAAUUGUUCUAAAUAUAGGUGUUACCUCGUUUUCGUUAGUGGUCAGUCCAGUUGUCUUUGUUACAUGUUUUGGCGCGGUUUUUAGUACUCAUUCAUAGACAGAGCUAAAGGGUGGAUGUAAUUUAUAUCCAGAGGUUUGAGUCUUGAAGUCUUUCUCUAGAUCUGAGAUGAUAGUUUUCGAUUGAGAACGCGCGGAUACAGAUCUUCAUUCGUGUAAACCCCCGACCCAUAGUUGGGGGUUUUUUGAUUAUGUUCCACAUAUUGUGGGAAUAAACCGGUAAACAAGAAAUCUGCGUCGACCUUGACUUUUCAUUCAACUUUACAUGUGUCCAGUACAAGCGUCUGACUGCGAAUUAAUAUGUGUACAGUACAAUGGCCUAAACAGUGGAAUAUGUA